AGAUGUCUAUAUGUCUAUAUAGGCCUAAAGGUGUCUAUAUAGGCCUAAAUUUUAUGGGGAAAUCCUGAUUUGUGUUCAUAGUACGGCCCCCGGAGGAUUUUAUGACCAUGGUAGGAAUUUGAAGUGGCCCCUCGAAUUAAAAAGGUUCCCCACCCCUGCAUUAAACCUUUCUACUAGCCACAGCUUUGCUGUCAGUACAUUUUAUUAUGAUACUAUAAGCUCAGAAAUUAAGUUGAUCAAACAAUUCGAUCUGUGCUAUAAACAUUUAAAUGAACCUACAGAAUAGGCAAUCAAAAUAGAAUCAUCUGAAUGAUCUUUCUUGGACAUACAUUUUGAAGUGACCCUUCGAAUUAAAAAGGUUCCUCAGCUGCUUUUGAGGAAAAACAUCAAUGUGCUUGGCCACUCUGGUUUUUAAAUGGUAUUCUGAACUAAAGCAAGGAUUGUUCAAGUUAGUUGAAAAUAGACCGUCUCUGGUUAAAUUAGUUCUACACCAAGCCUUUAGGUGGCAGUAAAACUAAUUGGCACAAUGCAAAUUCCACACACAAGCCACAAAGAAAGAAGCCAUCAACCGCGGUCAACAACACCUUCCUGAUUGAACAGAACCACGCGCUGUCUGUGUGGUUUCACUGUUACAAGUUUCUUGGCGAUAUGGGGGAAAAGUUCCUCACAUACCAACGGAAAAUGGGCUUCACAUACAUGCUGCUGUCUCAUAAUAUGGCGAAGACGAGUCACCUGAAGGCCUAACUCGCCAUAGAAGACUGAAAGAAUGUAAGAUUAACUUCUUUGUGACCAAUAUGACUUGCUCAUUGAUACAUUUGCUAUGUCAAUAUGAGGUGCAUGGUGAAUUAUUUAAUUUAUUUGUCUCGCUUCUAGGAGCUGUAGAAACAACAGGGUGUUCUUUUUCAGGGUAUUCUUUUUUAUAGAACUGGACAGGUCAUUUAUUCGUUCCCCUUGUUUUUUGAAGUGUCCUGUAGGAUGCUGUGUCCUGCAAUCCUGUGUGCUGUGCUACAGACGCGUGUGGAGGUCAACCCAAAGUGGGCACAGUCUCACCACAGAAGAGUGAAAGAGGAUCCUGGCAGGGAGACGGUAGUGUCCUGCAGAAUGGUGAUGGGCCAAUCUUACAAGAGACCACAGAAAACUGAUAUAGUGAACUAUAGAAACAACAGAGUGCCUGCUGCAGUAUGACGAGGACACCCUGAGCAGAGAGCUCCAAUAGACCCAGGUCCAGUGUCUUGGCAGGGUGAAAUGGCACUGAUAUGGUGUCCUGCAGGAUGCUGUGUCCUGCAAUCCUGUGUGCUGUGCUACAGACGCGUCUGGAAGCCAACCUGAAAUAAGCACAGUCUCUCCACAGAGGAGUGAAAGAGGCUCCCAGAAGUGAGACUGAGUGCCUGUUGCAGUAUGACGAGGACACAGUGACCAGAGACCUUCAGUAGACCCUUCUGGCAUGAUUGGCGGCUGAAGAACAUGAAAUCAACAGCAAUGUUUAUAAUGUUGUACAUACCUGUAUAGUCUGUAUUAAAAGGCAGUACCUGUA
Molecule: long non-coding RNA, 1534 nt
Organism: Engraulis encrasicolus (European anchovy)
Lineage: Eukaryota; Metazoa; Chordata; Actinopteri; Clupeiformes; Engraulidae
Exons: 6
Source: RefSeq, a predicted model, not a curated record